CUACUUUGCUUACUUCUGAUGAUCCUUUUCUGGGGCAUAUAUGCUCUGCAGAAAUAUAAAGCAAGAUCUUUUAUGUAACUACUUCCAUGAUCGAUUCCUCAGAGAAUGUCUGUACAUUGUUUUGAGCCAAUAUGACUGACAAUAUUCUAGCUAACUUCAGUGCUACAAAAAACAGAAUUCUAUGAAGAGUAAAGUGUAAUUUGUGUUGAGCUGACCAGUCUGUUUAACUCUAUGCUCAAGUAUAUUUUUACCUUUCAGCCAAAGCCAGCACAUACAAUGCAUGUCAUAUGAUAGAGGCAUUCAGUACUUUUUAAGUUCAAUUUCAACUCGUACCUACUCAUAGAUCAUCAAUCUCUGUAAAAUAUUUAAAUAUUUUACUGAUUUUUAUUAUUUUAGUAUUUAAUAUGAAGAUAAGCAAUGACAUUCAUAUAGGCUUUCAGAUGUUUUUUACAAUUACACAAUUAUCUUCUUUUUUUUUUUUACGCUUCUUGAGAAUACAACAGGAUUUGGGACAAAUUCUACAAACAGCUUUGUCUUGCUCCCAUGUCAGCAUUUCUCUGAGUUGUUUAUAACCCUGAAGCCUGGGCUGUGUGUCCUGUCUCCUACCAUGCCAUCCAUGCUUGUACUUCUGCUUCUACAGUCACAGUGUACAAGUAUAAGUAAAAAUAAAACAGAAUAUAGCACCACUCACUAGAAAAGCAGAUGUUAUAUAAAAAAAAAAAAAUAAAAAAAAAAGUCCAGGCAAGCUGAUGCAAGUGACAUGAAGUAAACCUUGCAAACACUAAUCCUGAGGCUCUGAGAGUAAGUACACAACUACAGUCUGUUACUACCAAUGACGUUCCUGUGCAUACUGGGCUACUGGGGUAAAAAGUCCUAUGCAAACAUAAAUUACAAACCAUACCUGAUAGUAUUCAAGGUAAAAUCAAUUUCAAAGUUAACAAAGGAGACAGAAAACCUGGAAACACUGAACAACAGUGCUCAUGGACCAACCCUGGAGACCCUCAUGGAGAGAGUCGAACUACUGGCAAUUGGGAAUAUGAUGAUUUACUGUGAUGCCCUGCUGUACUUUUAUAACUAUUGUAUUCCGAUUCAUAUUGUAAUGGCACUGAGUAUAAAUUCUAGACAUCUCACAUAAAGUAUGUUCUUUUCAUGCAUUUAAUGAUGUUUUGAGUGCAACACUCAUUUUUUCAAACAAGAAAAAGAAAAUAUUGAUCAUUUAUUUGACUGGAUUUUUUCAGUGAUUAUUCUAUCAUUUUUAGUGCUUACUACAUCAAAAACCUUUUGCAGCAUCUUUCUAAGUCUGCAAUAAUAAGUAAGAUUUAAUCAUAAUCUACUACUUCCAAGUAAGAAUUAGUAUUCAUCAGCUGUUGGGACCUAGUUUUUGACACUUUGAAUUCAACCAUCUAGAGAACACAACCAAUCUCUGAAUUCAGCUCUGUAUUUGUGCUCUGUCUUAUUAUAAACUAAGUUGAAUUAUAUAUUUUAUAUGUAUCCUACUGUACAGUGUGGAAGUCAGAAAUGAUGCCUUCUUAAGGAAUUAUUUUCAGUUGAUUUUGUCAUGUUUGCCUUCAUAAGAAGAAAUAUAAUCAGCAAAUUAAUUGAGAGAUGUCCAAAAUAAAAUAUUUUUAAAUUUGUGCAUUGUCUGAUUACACCUUGAAAGUCUAAAGCAAGGAAGAUCAAAUACAAACACCAGAGGCCACAGAAUAACACUAGUAAGAGACAAUUACUACAUCAAGAGACAGCAUUGAUUAUUACAUUUGCCUUCACUUUUAUAAAUUAGUCUCCUUCAUUUUAUAUAUAUUUAUCUUACGUACAAAAAAGUGAAAUGGAAAAUUAAGAUUGAAUACAACUGUCUGUGGAGAAGGUUGGGCAGAGAGGUUGUAAACUUUUCCUCCAUGGAAGAUUUCUAGGCCAGGCCUGGGCUGUUUGAUCUGAUCCUGUGGCUGGUCCUGUCCUGCGAAUGAGGAUGUGCUGGAUAUCUCCAGAGGUCCUUUCCAGUCCCAGCAGGAAACAUACUGGAGCAAGGCAGGCUACUGGGCAAGAAGGGAAAACAGAUUUCAGUCUCUCUGUCAUCAUGUGGGCAGAUGCUUAUUGUGUGGUGGUUCUCUUUAGCCUAUACAUGAUAUAUCAGUUCAGUCUGUAACCUCCUUGAAACAUGGAAUGUGCCUGUUGCCAUUGCACAUCUCCUAGUUUGAUGGGACUAAGAAGCAGGGACUAUUACAAACCAAAUGAAUACAAUACAUUGUUAAGCAGAUAUUAAAUGACUAUUUGGGGAAUAAAUGUUUUUGCAUUGUGAUUCAUAGCAAAUUCUGCCUGUACAAAGUUGUGGUUAUUCCCUCCCAGUUGUAGGACUGUACAUUUGAUCUCGUUGAACCUCAUAAUGUUCCUCUCUACCCAACACUCACCUUGUCCAGGUCCCACUGAAUGGUAUCACAGCCUUCUGGCAUGUUGGACGUUCUUCCCAACUUUGCAUCAUCAGCAAAUUUGCUGAGGGUGCACUCUAUCUUUUCAUCCAGGUCAUUGAUGAAUAUUGUUGAUGUUGUAAUUCAUAAACAAUAUUAUACAUGUGACACAUACAAACUUCCCUCUUUUAGUUUGGAAACGGUUUGACUCUCGUUCAUGGACUGGUAUACUGGCUUUGUAUUCCUGCAGUGCCUGAUUGUUAUCAAAAGAUUUAGAUUGCUUUAUCUCUUAUUUCCACCUAUAUAAACCUUUAUGCUUCUUUUCUUUUUGUCUGCUGGCUGUUACACAGUGCUCAAUGAUGGUACUCUGGUAGGUUAUUUGAUGUAUAGCAGGUGGUUUGGUUUCCAGGUUGUACUUUUGAGUCUGCUUUUCAAUAGUUAUUCACCAUUAAAUGCAACUGAAUAAGA
This 2870-nucleotide long non-coding RNA is filed under the name Gallus gallus (chicken). Its description in RNAcentral is "lncRNA (ENSGALG00010009878.1)". Lineage: Eukaryota; Metazoa; Chordata; Aves; Galliformes; Phasianidae. The record is from RNAcentral.